UUCUACUCAACUCCUCUCCGUAUAUUUCUCUCUAAAACAAAAUCCCCUUUUUCUCACCCUAGGAUUUUCAAUGCGUAAGAGGAAACAAACAUCGUUCCUAGGGAGAAGAAAAUAUAUCUCAAAUACAAUGAAUGUCAUCCAUGAUGGUGGCGGCGCCGCCAUCGGUUUCACCUUAUUGGCUAUUAAGGAGGUGGAUGAAUUAGAGGCGGCAGUGACAAAGAUUGUUUUUUUGUUUUGAAAUCGGUGUUAUCCUUACCUGAGCUUUUACUCUAAUGUAUCUUUCUUUCUCGAAUUAGUCUUCUAAUUCGUUUUUUUUUGUUGGUUUUUUUUCUUUAUGUGAUUCUGGUUUUCUUGACCUUGUAAGACCUUUUCUUGACCUUGUAAGACCAAACAACAACUUUUAUCUCCUCAAAAUAUGUUGUUGUUCGGAUCUUAUAUCACUAUAUGGUCAUGAAAUGUCUUUCUACCGCUUUUCUUCGUUCCCACCCAACUCAUGUUCUCCUUCCUUGUCUAUCCCUUCUGAGCUAUUUCCCUCUUUUUGUCAUCGAUUAAUGAUCAAAAGACACUAAAGAGUUAAUUAUUUAUAAUUUGUUCCAUUUAGGCUUCAUUUACUAAAGCCGUAAACCCUAGUCUUGUCUAUCUAGGCCUAAAUUUUUCUCUCCAUUUCAAGCAUAAGACCAAAUCCCGAGUCUAUCAUCAACAAAGAUGCUUUAAGGACGGCUACAUGUUUAAAGAAGAUGAAAACCCUAGAAGAUGGUGGCAUAUAUUUUCAAGAUCUAAUUUAAAGCCAACUUAUAAAUUUGUUUGCAUCAUUUUUUUUCAAUAUAUCAUAUAAGGAAUGUUAUAAUGUAAUUGUUUUUUUUUCUUAAAGAUCUGAAUUAAAUUGUAUUAAUUAAAUGUGAAAUAAUAAAUUCACGAUGCCAAUGA
Long non-coding RNA from Erigeron canadensis, 927 nucleotides. RefSeq lists it as uncharacterized. NCBI's taxonomy places the organism in Eukaryota, Viridiplantae, Streptophyta, Magnoliopsida, Asterales, Asteraceae. The record is from RefSeq and is a predicted model, not a curated record. The transcript is spliced from 2 exons.